CACUCAGCCUGCGUGACCCUGAGCACACCUUGAUACAGAGCAGGAGAACACCCGGUGAUUAAGGUCAGCACUGGACACACUCUGUGAGCCAUCCCAUCAGCACCCCGCGACAUCCCGGUACCGACCCCUGAUUUGGAGCAGGACAGGUUGUGACCAAGCUGACUAAGCAGAGGAAGCUCUCGCUGUCCUACCACCACCACCAGGCCAGACAAUCCUUCCCUUGGCUGAAGAUCCCGUUGAACCUCUUCCCAUAAUGGAAG
RNAcentral lists this long non-coding RNA (260 nucleotides) under Lepidothrix coronata (blue-crowned manakin). RNAcentral's name for it is "lncRNA (ENSLCOG00000010353.1)". The record is from RNAcentral. Lineage: Eukaryota; Metazoa; Chordata; Aves; Passeriformes; Pipridae.